GACGAACGCCGGCGGCGUGCUUAACACAUGCAAGUCGAACGGAAAGGCCCUGCUUGCCGGGUACUCGAGUGGCGAACGGGUGAGUAACACGUGGGUGAUCUGCCCUGCACUUCGGGAUAAGCUUGGGAAACUGGGUCUAAUACCGGAUAGGAGCCAUCUUUAGUGUGGUGGUUGGAAAGUUUUUUCGGUGUAGGAUGAGCUCGCGGCCUAUCAGCUUGUUGGUGGGGUAAUGGCCUACCAAGGCGGCGACGGGUAGCCGACCUGAGAGGGUGUACGGCCACAUUGGGACUGAGAUACGGCCCAGACUCCUACGGGAGGCAGCAGUGGGGAAUAUUGCACAAUGGGCGCAAGCCUGAUGCAGCGACGCCGCGUGGGGGAUGAAGGCCUUCGGGUUGUAAACUCCUUUCGCUAGGGACGAAGCGUUUUUGUGACGGUACCUAGAUAAGAAGCACCGGCUAACUACGUG
Molecule: ribosomal RNA, 466 nt
Filed under: uncultured bacterium
Lineage: Bacteria
Description: partial 16S ribosomal RNA
Rfam family: Bacterial small subunit ribosomal RNA
Source: RNAcentral